AACGAACGCUGGCGGCAUGCCUAACACAUGCAAGUCGAACGAGACCUUCGGGUCUAGUGGCGCACGGGUGCGUAACGCGUGGGAGCCUGCCCUUAGGUUCGGAAUAACUCCCCGAAAGGGGUGCUAAUACCGGAUAAUGUCUUCGGACCAAAGAUUUAUCGCCUUUGGAUGGGCCCGCGUUGGAUUAGCUAGUUGGUAGGGUAAAAGCCUACCAAGGCGACGAUCCAUAGCUGGUCUGAGAGGAUGAUCAGCCACACUGGGACUGAGACACGGCCCAGACUCCUACGGGAGGUAGCAGUGGGGAAUAUUGGACAAUGGGCGAAAGCCUGAUCCAGCAAUGCCGCGUGAGUGAUGAAGGCCUUAGGGUUGUAAAGCUCUUUUACCCGGGAUGAUAAUGACAGUACCGGGAGAAUAAGCUCCGGCUAACUCCGUG
This 433-nucleotide ribosomal RNA is filed under the name uncultured bacterium. RNAcentral's name for it is "partial 16S ribosomal RNA". It matches the Rfam family "Bacterial small subunit ribosomal RNA", at positions 29 to 507 of the family's 1533-position model. The record is from RNAcentral.